CACCAGCGCCACAAGUGGCAACCGCUUUUAUUGGGCCUAAAGCGUCCGUAGCCGGUUCAGUAAAUUUUCUGUGAAAUCGUUGGGCUUAACCUAACGUCGUGCAGGAAAGACUACUGGACUAGGGACCGGGAGGCGUCAGAGGUAUUCCUGAGGGAGCGGUAAAAUGCUAUAAUCUCAGGAGGACCACCAAUGGCGAAGGCAUCUGACGAGAACGGAUCCGACGGUCAGGGACGAAAGCUAGGGGAGCAAACCGGAUUAGAUACCCCCGUA
This 270-nucleotide ribosomal RNA is filed under the name uncultured prokaryote. Its description in RNAcentral is "partial 16S ribosomal RNA". It matches the Rfam family "Archaeal small subunit ribosomal RNA", at positions 474 to 743 of the family's 1478-position model. The record is from RNAcentral.